RNAcentral lists this unclassified non-coding RNA (264 nucleotides) under uncultured fungus. RNAcentral describes it as "partial contains 5.8S ribosomal RNA, internal transcribed spacer 2, and large subunit ribosomal RNA". The stretch from base 1 to 52 matches the Rfam family "5.8S ribosomal RNA", at positions 103 to 154 of the family's 154-position model. The record is from RNAcentral. Lineage: Eukaryota; Fungi.
AACGCACAUUGCGCCUUUUGGUAUUCCGAGAGGCAUGUCUGUUUGAGCGUCAGUACACACCUCCUUCUGGACUUUGCUGUCUGCGAAGGGUUGUGGGGAUGGCCGGCAACGGUCUCCCUCAAUACAGCACGCUUGCGGGCUCCCACACAGAUGUCAACGUAGUAAACUUAAAAGCUCGCUGUCUUGUCCUGUGGGAAGCUCUGCCUGAAACCCAAACUUCUUAGGUUUGACCUCAGAUCAGACAAGGAUACCCGCUGAACUUAA